RNAcentral lists this ribosomal RNA (253 nucleotides) under uncultured bacterium. Its description in RNAcentral is "partial 16S ribosomal RNA". It matches the Rfam family "Bacterial small subunit ribosomal RNA", at positions 524 to 776 of the family's 1533-position model. The record is from RNAcentral.
UACGUAGGUGGCAAGCGUUAUCCGGAUUUAUUGGGCGUAAAGGGAACGCAGGCGGUCUUUUAAGUCUGAUGUGAAAGCCUUCGGCUUAACCGGAGUAGUGCAUUGGAAACUGGGAGACUUGAGUGCUGAAGAGGAGAGUGGAACUCCAUGUGUAGCGGUGAAAUGCGUAGAUAUAUGGAAGAACACCAGUGGCGAAAGCGGCUCUCUGGUCUGUAACUGACGCUGAGGUUCGAAAGCGUGGGUAGCAAACAGG